AUGAUCUGUUUAAUUACAGUCAAAGAAAUUUUGCAAUGCUAUGCUGCCUUGGAUGGUGGUAAUAAUAAUGGAAUGUAUCGAGGGUCGUGGCUACAUGGACUGAUGGCUAUAAAGGGGAUGAUUUCCAGCGAGCAGAGUCAUUGCAUGAUGCACAUCUUGUUGCUAAAGAUCAUCAGGUUAUGACAGAGCCAUCUUGGGUCUCAGUACGAACAGUGGGAAAGAUUCUACCUCAAGAGAACCCAGCUUUACCUCUGAGCACUUAAAGGAGUGUGUGAGGAGACCACUGGCAAAAAUUUAGGGUAUGUCGCUGAU
Molecule: long non-coding RNA, 312 nt
Filed under: Anas platyrhynchos platyrhynchos (common mallard)
Lineage: Eukaryota; Metazoa; Chordata; Aves; Anseriformes; Anatidae
Description: lncRNA (ENSAPLG00000024379.1)
Source: RNAcentral